Long non-coding RNA from Coccinella septempunctata (seven-spotted ladybird), 447 nucleotides. RefSeq lists it as uncharacterized. Lineage: Eukaryota; Metazoa; Arthropoda; Insecta; Coleoptera; Coccinellidae. The record is from RefSeq and is a predicted model, not a curated record. The transcript is spliced from 2 exons.
UUAUGUGAUACUGUCACCUAAUCUUCUAAAUCUCACAUUUUCCGACUCUUACUUUUGUUAUCUUUAGCAAAUGUAUAUUUUCUACUGGGGAUGUGUCUAUAAGAAUAAUACUUAAAAUACAGGGAAUUAUGAAAAUUAUAUCGAUGAUGAAUAAACUGCAUACUGGAAUUGGAAAUGAAACAAAAAACCCAAAAUAGUUGAUGAUAUUAGCAAAAAUCAGUUAUAUGCAGUUAGAAGGAAGCAUUUUAAAAGAGAAUCCUGCUUUUCAACAUUUCAUUCAGUUAAUUUUAUUUUGAAAAGAAACUUCUUCCUUCUCUACGAUGAAAACAAAAAUGGGAAUAACUUGCCAAAAGUCUAUAAAUAAAGAAUUCUAAUGCAAAAACUCACCCGGAUAAUGUAUUCCAAUAAUCAUUAUAUUAUUUCCAUUGAAUAAAUUGAUCGAACAUA